UUCUUCUUCGUUAGCUCAUUUUCUUCCUUCUUUCACUUGCAGAAAAUCUUUCUUCCUUGCGAGCUUCUAGUUUCACGAUAAACAAAUUUCAAUUACAGUCUUGAAUUUUUUGAAAUUGUACUGUUAUUUCAGUUCAUUCAAUUACAUCUUCUCCAUUAGAGUAUCUAAUUUUAAUGGCGAAAGUUUUUGCUGCGAACAAAGGUACAAUCUAUAAAAUAAUUAUCAUUAUUUUGAUUAAUUUUUUUUUAUUAUUAUUUUUUUUUUCAUCCUUCUAUAGCCUUACUGUCUCCCUAAUUUAACUCCUUCAUAAAUGGCCUCCAGUUCUAUUCAUAGUAUAGUCUAAUGCAAGCAAUUGCUCCUCUCUGGUUCAUUUGUUUGUCCUUGAAAUACUCUACCAUUCAUCUCUCUCUCUCUCCAUAGUACAUACACUGUAGCAUUAACUACCAUCUCGUAUAGGUUAUUGCUGAAUGUAUCUUGCUUGAGUUGCUCUGUCAACCAUUUCUACUCUUGAACUGCAUGCAUCACAAACACUUCAAUUGCUGCCACACCAUUUAACCACUCCUUGUCAUUCAAAAAACAAUGCCAUAUAUUCUCCACGUAUGUCACUCUACUAGUGUGGGCAAAGAAAUGAUAAAAUUCACCUUGGCCGAGUUUUACAUGUUGUCAUUGCAUAUCUUAGGGCUAGUUGAACUGUCACGACUCAGGUUUCCUUGGCUUUGGGCUGGAACUUUAAUGACCCUGCAAAUACUGUUGUUAUCAUUAUAAGAGCACAAUAUUGGUGUUUUUUCUAAUAAUUUAUACACUUAUUUGUAUAGAUUUAUCAUUCUCUUUCUUUCUCUAAUUUGUUAUUUUACAAUUGUUUCUAAGGAGGUUUGAAGAGAAAUAGAAAACCUGAAAAGAAGGUUGACACAAACAAACGGUCAAGGAAGAAGAAUCGGGUGAGUGAAGCUAAGGUUUCUCGUAGUCCAAGUCCAAGUAUAUCACGUACCGGAACUCUUUUUUGUUUCUUUGCAUCCUUGUUCUAUAAUAUGCAUCAAU
This 1038-nucleotide long non-coding RNA is filed under the name Aquilegia coerulea. RNAcentral describes it as "long non-coding RNA (ACOE_LNC002043)". The record is from RNAcentral. Lineage: Eukaryota; Viridiplantae; Streptophyta; Magnoliopsida; Ranunculales; Ranunculaceae.